UGGGGAAUAUUGGACAAUGGGCGAAAGCCUGAUCCAGCCAUGCCGCGUGUGUGAAGAAGGUCUUCGGAUUGUAAAGCACUUUAAGUUGGGAGGAAGGGCAGUAAGUUAAUACCUUGCUGUUUUGACGUUACCAACAGAAUAACGCAACCGGCUACUUCGCUGCCAGCAGCCGCGUAAUACAGAGGUGCAAGCGUUAAUCGGAAUUACUGGGCGUAAAGCGCGCGUAGGUGGUUCAGCAAGUUGGAUGUGAAAUCCCCGGGCUCAACCUGGGAACUGCAUCCAAAACUACUGAGCUAGAGUACGGUAGAGGGUGGUGGAAUUUCCUGUGUAGCGGUGAAAUGCGUUAGAUAUAGGAAGGAACACCAGUGGCGAAGGCGACCACCUGGACUGAUACUGACACUGAGGUGCGAAAAGCGUGGGGAGCAAACA
Molecule: ribosomal RNA, 429 nt
Filed under: uncultured Pseudomonadaceae bacterium
Lineage: Bacteria; Pseudomonadati; Pseudomonadota; Gammaproteobacteria; Pseudomonadales; Pseudomonadaceae
Description: bacterial SSU rRNA
Rfam family: Bacterial small subunit ribosomal RNA
Source: RNAcentral